This 435-nucleotide ribosomal RNA is filed under the name uncultured bacterium. Its description in RNAcentral is "partial 16S ribosomal RNA". It matches the Rfam family "Bacterial small subunit ribosomal RNA", at positions 28 to 507 of the family's 1533-position model. The record is from RNAcentral.
GAUGAACGCUGGCGGUAUGCUUAACACAUGCAAGUCGAACGGACUCUUCGGAGUUAGUGGCGGACGGGUGAGUAACGCGUGAGAAUCUGGCUUUGGGUUCGGGACCACCACUGGAAACGGUGGCUAAUACCGGAUGUGCCGAGAGGUAAAAGAGAAAUUGCCUGAAGAUGAGCUCGCGUCUGAUUAGCUCGUUGGUGAGGUAAAGGCUCACCAAGGCAGAGAGCAGUAGCUGGUCUGAGAGUAUGACCAGCCACACUGGGACUGAGACACGGCCCAGACUCCUACGAGAGGCAACAGUGGGAAAUUGUCCGCAAUGGGCGAAAGCCUGACGGAGCAAUACCGCGUGAGAGAAGAAGGCUCUUGGGUUGUAAACCUCUUUUCUUAGGGAAGGACAGAAUGACGGUACCUAAUAAAUCAGCAUCGGCUAACUCCGUG